Molecule: non-coding RNA, 1818 nt
Organism: Camellia sinensis
Lineage: Eukaryota; Viridiplantae; Streptophyta; Magnoliopsida; Ericales; Theaceae
Source: RefSeq, a predicted model, not a curated record
AUCCCCAAUCUCAAAAAUCCCUAAUCUCUUCCCCUCUCCCAUUUUUUCCAUGCCCGCUCGGGUUUCCCCCCAUCCCAAACCCAAACCCAAACCCAAAAUCCUCAAUCUCAAAAUCCCUAAUCUCUUCUUACGUCUCUCUCUCUUUCUCUCCGUCUCAAUUUGUUUCAGAUGCUGAUUCGGAUGAUUCACGGUCGAGGAGGAAGAGGAAGAGCAGGAGUUCUAGGCGUAGAAGUAGGAAAUCAAAAUCAGUCGGUGAUAGUGAAUCGGAUUCUCUCCAAGUGAGACAAAUCUUGAGAGGAAGAAGAUGGAAAAUAAGGUAAAACGAAUGGAGAUGGAGCAGAAAAGUUGCUCCUUGAAGGUCAAAAAACUAAUAGAGAAACAUGCUUGUAUAACACUUGAGAAACACCGAUUUGGAAGAAGUGGGACAGAUUAUGAUUUUGCAUCUCGUGAGCCUCAUACAGCAAGGGAAGAUUUUGAAAAGCUACAAGUUGAGCAAUUAGAGUGUGUAUCUGAGAAACCCUAUUCAGGCCCUAGAUGUGCUACCAUGUCAAGCUGAGUUAGAGUUGUAAAGUUCAUGCGGUGACUCUAUGGUACAGGGCACCAGAAAUACUCCUUGGAUCUCGCCACUAUUCGACUCCUGUGGAUGUUUGGUCAGUGGGUUGUAUAUUUGCUGAAAUGGUGAAUCAGCGGCCAUUGUUCCCUGGGGACUCUGAGAUUGAUGAACUAUUCAAAAUCUUCAGGUUUAUAACCUGAACAACAUUUUUUUCUGUUGUUUUUUGGAAAAAGUUGUAUUUAGGCUGCUCAUUUAUAAUUUGGAAAGCCAUGCUCUGUAUAGAAGUUUUUGAUGGCCUCACAGAUCAGUUACUUGUGUUCAUUUUGACCUGAAUGCAUACCAUUAAAAUUAUAUGUAUGUCCGUUUAGGAAGGAACUUGAGCCAAUCAUUGACAUGGAAAAAUGUUUUAACUGUUGAAUGACAUGGAAAAAUUAUAUCUGGAAAUGCUUUGUGCCAAUACUUUUCUAUGGCUUCACAUUCACAUUCCCUUUGUUGAACUUCUAGACGAAUGAUUAAAUGACCUGCUCAGCAGCCACAGAGGGCCAAGACUUAAAAUUAACUAUGAAUAGUGAUGAUCAUAAGGCCUGAAACUCUAAUGUGGUCUCCAGUUUUCAAACUAACUAGUAGUUGAGGCCCAAGGUUUGGGCCAGUUCGUUUGCUACAUCUCAAGCUUUGUAGCUUCAAUGUAAUUAUGUUAUUGUACAACCGUUUAACAUUUAUCCAUGGUCUUACAACAAUUGUUGAAAAAUCUACUAAUUUUGGAGUUUGAUAGAGUUUGAAUUAUAAUUCUUAGUGGCUUCACUGUGUAAACUACUAAACUUUCUGCUGGGGAUUGUUAUGGAGUGUCUCUGAAGACUACCAGCAAACCACUUGCUGCAGUCAGUUAGAGAUUUAUUCCCCUUCCCUUUGAUAGAAACACCACCGGGAUACCACUGGCUGUAGUGGGUUCCGUAUUUGUUAGAUUCUUGUUCUUAUUUUUAAAGUUUUUUUUAGUUAUUUCUUCUUAUAUUCUAUGUAUAAAAUUGGAAGAAAUUUCUGCAUUCGGUUAUCAAUAAAGACAAGACCAAUGUUAGAUAGAUCCCAAUUCUAUAGUUGUAAAUUUUUACUUGAUGUUUAGAAAAUCUGGAAUUUUUUCAUGGAUAAGCAACUGCUCUAAAUUAGAAGGAAGAAAGCAGGAAAAAUGACUACUCUUGAAUUUUAUUGGCUUUAUGGUUGAGAUCCUUUAUCUGCUUUUUGACAUUUAGAUAUGCUGACCUACAGAAAGG